GCUUAACGCGAAGAACCUUACCAGCCUUUGACAUGCCCUGGACGGAUAGCAGAGAUGCUUUCCUCUCUUCGGAGCCGGGGACACAGGUGCUGCAUGGCUGUCGUCAGCUCGUGUCGUGAGAUGUUGGGUUAAGUCCCGCAACGAGCGCAACCCUCGCCCCUAGUUGCCAUCAUUCAGUUGGGCACUCUAGGGGGACUGCCGGUGAUAAGCCGCGAGGAAGGUGGGGAUGACGUCAAGUCCUCAUGGCCCUUACAGGCUGGGCUACACACGUGCUACAAUGGCGGUGACAAUGGGACGCGAAGCCGCGAGGCCGAGCAAAUCUCCAAAAGCCGUCUCAGUUCGGAUUGCACUCUGCAACUCGAGUGCAUGAAGUUGGAAUCGCUAGUAAUCGUAGAUCAGAACGCUACGGUGAAUACGUUCCCGGGUCUUGUACAC
This 435-nucleotide ribosomal RNA is filed under the name uncultured bacterium. Its description in RNAcentral is "bacterial SSU rRNA". It matches the Rfam family "Bacterial small subunit ribosomal RNA", at positions 954 to 1388 of the family's 1533-position model. The record is from RNAcentral.